GAGUAACGCGUGGGUAACCUGCCAUAUACAGGGGGAUAACACUUAGAAAUAGGUGCUAAUACCGCAUAAGCGCACAGUACCGCAUGGUACAGUGUGAAAAACUCCGGUGGUAUAUGAUGGACCCGCGUCUGAUUAGCUAGUUGGCGGGGUAACGGCCCACCAAGGCGACGAUCAGUAGCCGGCCUGAGAGGGUGGACGGCCACAUUGGGACUGAGACACGGCCCAAACUCCUACGGGAGGCAGCAGUGGGGGAUAUUGGACAAUGGGGGGAACCCUGAUCCAGCGACGCCGCGUGAGUGAAGAAGUAUUUCGGUAUGUAAAGCUCUGUCAGCAGGGAAGAAAGAAAUGACGGUACCUGACCAAGAAGCCCCGGCUAACUACGUG
This 384-nucleotide ribosomal RNA is filed under the name uncultured bacterium. RNAcentral describes it as "bacterial SSU rRNA". It matches the Rfam family "Bacterial small subunit ribosomal RNA", at positions 108 to 507 of the family's 1533-position model. The record is from RNAcentral.